This 365-nucleotide ribosomal RNA is filed under the name Megasphaera micronuciformis. Its description in RNAcentral is "bacterial SSU rRNA". It matches the Rfam family "Bacterial small subunit ribosomal RNA", at positions 161 to 501 of the family's 1533-position model. Lineage: Bacteria; Bacillati; Bacillota; Negativicutes; Veillonellales; Veillonellaceae. The record is from RNAcentral.
UGUUAAUACCGAAAUACGUUCCGAAAGUCGCAUGACUGUCGCAAGAAAGGAUGGCCUCUAUUUAUAAGCUAUCGCCGGAGGAGGGGUUUGCGUCUGAUUAGCUAGUUGGAGGGGUAACGGCCCACCAAGGCGACGAUCAGUAGCCGGUUUGAGAGGAUGACGGCCACAUUGGAACUGAGACACGGUCCAGACUCCUACGGGAGGCAGCAGUGGGGAAUCUUCCGCAAUGGGCGAAAGCCUGACGGAGCAACGCCGCGUGAGUGAAGACGGCCUUCGGGUUGCAAAGCUCUGUUAUACGGGACGAAUAAUCUUGUGGUUAAUACCCAUAAGAAGUGACGGUACCGUAAGAGAAAGCCACGGCUACU